GAUGAACGCUGGCGGCGUGCCUAAUACAUGCAAGUCGAGCGAACGGACGAGAAGCUUGCUUCUCUGAUGUUAGCGGCGGACGGGUGAGUAACACGUGGAUAACCUACCUAUAAGACUGGGAUAACUUCGGGAAACCGGAGCUAAUACCGGAUGAUAUUUUGAACCGCAUGGUUCAAAAGUGAAAGACGGUCUUGCUGUCACUUAUAGAUGGAUCCGCGCUGCAUUAGCUAGUUGGUAAGGUAACGGCUUACCAAGGCAACGAUGCAUAGCCGACCUGAGAGGGUGAUCGGCCACACGGGAACUGAGACACGGUCCAGACUCCUACGGGAGGCAGCAGUAGGGAAUCUUCCGCAAUGGGCGAAAGCCUGACGGAGCAACGCCGCGGGAGUGAUGAAGGUCUUCGGAUCGUAAAACUCUGUUAUUAGGGAAGAACAUAUGUGUAAGUAACUGUGCACAACGUGACGGUACCUAAUCAGAAAGCCACGGCUAACUACGUG
This 497-nucleotide ribosomal RNA is filed under the name uncultured bacterium. RNAcentral describes it as "partial 16S ribosomal RNA". It matches the Rfam family "Bacterial small subunit ribosomal RNA", at positions 28 to 507 of the family's 1533-position model. The record is from RNAcentral.